This 486-nucleotide ribosomal RNA is filed under the name uncultured rumen bacterium. RNAcentral describes it as "bacterial SSU rRNA". It matches the Rfam family "Bacterial small subunit ribosomal RNA", at positions 480 to 966 of the family's 1533-position model. The record is from RNAcentral.
UGGAAAACAAGCCACGGCUAACUACGUGCCAGCAGCCGCGGUAAUACGUAGGUGCAAGCGUUGUCCGGAUUUACUGGGUGUAAAGGGCGCGUAGGCGGGCUUGCAAGUCAGAUGUGAAAUCUCCGGGCUCAACCCGGAAAUUGCAUUUGAAACUGUAGGUCUUGAGUAUCGGAGAGGCAAGCGGAAUUCCUAGUGUAGCGGUGAAAUGCGUAGAUAUUAGGAGGAACACCAGUGGCGAAGGCGGCUUGCUGGACGACAACUGACGCUGAGGCGCGAAAGCGUGGGGAGCAAACAGGAUUAGAUACCCUGGUAGUCCACGCCCUAAACGAUGAAUACUAGGUGUGGGGGGACUGACCCCUUCCGUGCCGGAGUAAACACAAUAAGUAUUCCACCUGGGGAGUACGACCGCAAGGUUGAAACUCAAAGGAAUUGACGGGGGCCCGCACAAGCAGGGGAUUAUGUGGUUUAAUUCGAAGCAACGCGAAA